Molecule: microRNA precursor, 64 nt
Filed under: Bactrocera dorsalis (oriental fruit fly)
Lineage: Eukaryota; Metazoa; Arthropoda; Insecta; Diptera; Tephritidae
Description: microRNA bdo-mir-307 precursor
Gene: bdo-mir-307
Rfam family: mir-67 microRNA precursor family
Source: miRBase by way of RNAcentral
ACUCACUCAACCUGGGUGUGAUGUUUUUGAUUCGGUAUCCAUCACAACCUCCUUGAGUGAGCGA